GAAGCUCAAUUAAAAUUAGUUUAAAAUAAACAUUUCAUGGGCUUUAUCAUACACGUGGGACAUGAAUUAGUUAAGGUCACAAGCUAUCAAUUCAAUUUGAGAGAAAUUUUCUCUUCAAUAACAAAUGUUGACCAAGUAUGGUGGGAAGUUAGGAAGUUUAUUCAUUUAUUAAUUUAUUUUAAAUCUUAACUUAGGUUAGCUAGAGGCCUAUAUAUAGAGCUUUAGGUAUUCAUUCUUCACUAAUCACUUAAGCUAUUACCUAUCCAAGGUUACUCUCUCUGUCUCAUCUCUUACUACUACUCCCUAUUUUGUCUUUUAUGCCAAAAUAUUCAUUGCUUAUUACCUCACGCCACCAUCAAUACCAUCAUCAUUUAUCAUUUUCUCUAUCAUUUUUUUUUUCAAUUUCUUUUUCUAUCAUUUCACCAUUCUCUCAACACUAUUCCCAACUGAUUAUUCUUGUCAUACUACAUAUCACCACCACCAACCUCUUAAGCAUUUAUAUAUAUAUACCCCACUAUUAUUUACUUAUAUAUAUCAACAUCAUCACCACCAUUAUUUCUCUGCCAGAUUUCCUUUUUAAUCUAAGGUUUUUCAUAAGAUAAUUUUUGGUUCUCAAGGAUCACUUUUGCAAUCAAGCUAGGAUCUCCACAUUCGAGACCAAGGUAACUAAAAGUUUAGAAAGCCGGUGGCGAGUGAAACUUUGGACGCUUGUGUGUGUGAACUCGCUGAGGGCCAUAUAACUGCGGGCGGUCUUGGGGCGCUCUAUUUAUUUAUUUACGUUAUUAAAUUAAUGUCGCAACUAUUUUAGUUAUUAUUUAUUAUGUCUUUUGUACGAAAACUGGCCAGUUGUGAACAUUUUCAAGUAUUAAAUAAAAAUGCGACAUUAUGUUUUUCCGUGUU
Long non-coding RNA from Cannabis sativa, 900 nucleotides. RefSeq lists it as uncharacterized. The record is from RefSeq and is a predicted model, not a curated record. The transcript has 3 exons. Lineage: Eukaryota; Viridiplantae; Streptophyta; Magnoliopsida; Rosales; Cannabaceae.